UGAGUUCGAAAUUCGAAUCCGAAAGUUGAAAGUUGAAAGUUGAAAGUUGAAAGUUGAAACCCAACCCAACAGAGUUUUUGUUUUGUUACAUUACAGCAUCCUGAGAAUUUGAAAAUCCCCAACCCUCAUGACAUUCCCAUCUUCCUCAGUCACACAGCCCCCAAACACGCCCUAGCAGCAACACUAUGAGAGAGCAACGAGUGGAGUCGUUCUACGCCAAGCUUCGCCAGUCCGCCACGUCAUCCUCUUCCUCCUCUCCGGUUCUCAUCUUCCCCUCAACCUCCGACGUCGACUCCCUCUGCGCCCUCAAAAUCAUCCUCCACAUCCUCCAAUCCGACUCCAUCCAAUACGCAUGCUACCCCGUCUCGUCUUUCCACGAGAUCCACAAAUACGUUUCCUCCGCCUCCAACGACCACCCUCUCUCCGUCGUUUUGGUCAACUGGGGAAACCACAGAGACCUCCGCAAAACGCUCAACCUCAGCCCCAACGCGCGCGUCUUCGUCGUCGAUAGUCACCGCCCAAUCCACCUCCGCAACCUCAGCGACCGAAACGACGCCGUCACGGUCCUCUUCACUAAAGACGACGAGCAACAAUCGGAUCUCGCCUACGACUUCGACCUCACCACGCUCGCCAACGCCGGGAACGAAAACUCCGAAUCCGAAUCCGAAUCCGAAUCGGAAUCCGAAUCUGAGUCUGACUCCGAGGCGGAAUCCGAACGAGAUGGAUCUCGAAAGAGGAGAAGGAAGAACCCCGAAGAGGAUCCAAUUAAACUGUACCGAAAACUGAAGAAGGACUAUUACCGAUUGGGAACGUUCCACGGGAAACCCUCGGGGUGUUUGAUGUACGAGCUCGCUCACUUUCUGCGGAGGAACACGAACGAGUUGCUCUGGCUCGCGUGCGUUUCGCUCACGGAUCAAUUCGUGCACGAGAGGCUCAGCGAGGAGAGGUACCACGACGGCGUGAUGGAGCUCGAGCAGCAUAUUAACAGCUCCGGGAACUUGGACGCGCCGACUUCGGUUACGCUCAAGGACGGUACCAAAAUUCGCGCUCCGAAUUCGUCGCGAAUCACGUACGAGGAUCAACCGAGGUUGAUGCUGUUGCAGGAGUGGAACCUCUUCGACUCCAUGAUGUGCUCGUCGUACAUUGCCACUAAGCUGAAGACGUGGAGCGAGAACGGGGUGAAGAAGCUGAAGCUUUUGUUUGGGAGGAUGGGGUUUGCGCUCGCGGAUUGCCAGCAGCAGUUUCAGUACAUGAAUGUGGAGGUGAAGAGGAAGAUGAAGCAGGAGUUUGAGAGGUUUUUGCCUGAGUAUGGACUCACUGAUUUUUACUACAGGAGUUUCAUGAGGGUUUAUAGGUAUUCUAGGGUUUCUGCUGCGGAUGUGGUGUUUGGUGUCACCGCUUUGCUCGAGUCUUUUGUGAAAUCGGAUGGUUCUUGCGCUUCUCAGAAGUUUGGUGAGGCGUAUGAUGCGUUGUUGUCUUUGGAUAAUAUUAAUAAGGAGCUGCAAAAAGGGAUGCAGGAUGCUAUUAAGAUUCAGAGGGCAAUUUUGAGGCAAGGGAGUGCUGCGAUUACUAAGAGUGGGUGCAUAAGGAGUGGGAGGAGUUUUCGGUGGUUGAAGUUGGAGGAUUCGCGUGAUGCCAAGUUGUUGGGGUACCCUCAGGCGUUGACCAAGUUCUGUUAUUUUCUCAUGGAUGCUUUGAAAGAGAAGGGGGCGACGAUGAAGCCUUUGCUUUGUGCUUGUUUGUCUCAGGAGGCUGGGAAGGUGUUGAUUGUGGGGGUUUGUGGGAGGCCGCGUUUGGCUGGGGCUCGGGGGAAUGCGUUUGGAAUUGCGUUUAGGACUGCAGCGGAGGAGAUUGGGACUCAGUUCUUCCAUGAGUUGUUUGAAUCGUCGUGGAUUGUGCUGGAUGCUUCUGCUGUGAAUUCCUUCAUGGUUAGGUUGAUUGAGAAGCUGUGAUAAUGAUGGGUUUCUAAUUAGAGUUGGUUCUUCGAGGAGGUGUCUUCUCUAACUGCACUGCUGUGCCUGAGUCUCUGGUUACUAAUAAGUUGUGCGCAGGGGUUGAUGUUGCACUCUGGAUCGUGAUAAAUUGUAUUAAACCCUGGAACUGCUAAGUUUUUGCAUCAACAAAGAAGGAAAGUGCAUUUCACCAGAUGCCCAUUUGAUUUCAUGUGUCCUUCCAUGAAGUGCCUUCUCAGGGAUCAGCACCAGCAAAUUUCACUGGUGGUAUUUGGUUGAUUUGAGAAGUUGUUAAUGCUGCUGAAUUUCUGAUUAGAACUGGUUCUUCAAGGAAGUGUCUUCUCUUACUGCAGUGCCGUGCCUGAGACCGAGAUUACUGUUAAGUAUUGUGUAGUGGUUUAUCUUGCACCAAAGCAGCUGAGAUCGUGUGUGACCUUGGAGACCCUUCUUUGCAAGCUUGAAGUCGUUCGGAGCUGAACGCGAGUGGAGUUCUCUUCCUCUUCAUCUCUUCUUCUCAUUGUGUUAUUCCCGGAAGCUGUGACUGAUCAAGGAGGUGCAUUCUCUCCAACUUGAAGCUGUUCGGAGCAAGUCGUGUGCGGAUCCUCUUUUCUUCUCCUUCCACUUCCCGAAGCUCGGAUUUCUUCAAACCGAGAACAAGAAUAGGUCGGAGACUGGUAGUUGGGCGGUAGCUGGCAGUUGGAGCUAACCCUCUCGGGAUGUUGGUCUUUUGGUGUUGUUUGGCUACUAGGUGUAGCAAUUGAAUGAUGUAUCUAUCUGUACACUUUAACUCUGGU
Cajanus cajan (pigeon pea) is the source of this 2746-nucleotide non-coding RNA. Lineage: Eukaryota; Viridiplantae; Streptophyta; Magnoliopsida; Fabales; Fabaceae. The record is from RefSeq and is a predicted model, not a curated record.